RNAcentral lists this long non-coding RNA (649 nucleotides) under Anas platyrhynchos platyrhynchos (common mallard). RNAcentral's name for it is "lncRNA (ENSAPLG00000025621.1)". Lineage: Eukaryota; Metazoa; Chordata; Aves; Anseriformes; Anatidae. The record is from RNAcentral.
GUUUGCAAUGAGUUAAGUAGGAUCAUUGUUUCUGGGGCUGUUCAUAUCCCCAGACUUUUCACAGCCCUGGCAGAGGCUGACUCUGUAAUAAGUCUCACAUUACACAUGGAUUAGAUUUGUAGAAAUCCUGUAACUCAAUAGGUACCUGCCUAUUCUCUCCUGGCGUCAGGCUGCCUGCACUACUUUGCUCUGUAGACAUACCUGGCAUUCCACCCGUGCCUCCUCGCUGGCUAAGUGGGCUGGAGCCUGCCUACCAAAACAUUGGGGUAUUGUUGGGAAGCGGAGACCCCCUUGACAGACGAGCGAAGUGUGAAGAUCUGCAGAAACAUUUGGGAGUAGCAGGGGGUGGAGAUGCACUGUAGACAUGGAUAAAGCCAGUCCGACCCCGAGCCCUUCCGGCUUCCCCCCAGCUGCCACCAUCAUGUUUGUUUACACUAAUGGAGGAAGACAACAAAAACAUAUUUGGCAAUGCAUCAAGAAUGUGAAAUUACUUGAUUUCUGGGAACUUUGCCAGUUCAUCAUCUCAUCCUGGAAGAUAAUGAAGACUCCUAGUGAUCUCAUGAAGAUGUGUAUGAUUCUAACAACCUACUAACAACUUUUAACAUUAAAUGUUAAUAAAGCCUAAAGGUCACAUUAAUAUUAAGAGAUC